Molecule: long non-coding RNA, 1851 nt
Filed under: Anas platyrhynchos platyrhynchos (common mallard)
Lineage: Eukaryota; Metazoa; Chordata; Aves; Anseriformes; Anatidae
Description: lncRNA (ENSAPLG00000024324.1)
Source: RNAcentral
GGCACUGGGCAGCACUGGUUGCCGCAGGGCAGCCCCCCCCCCAGCAGCCGCCCCCGCCGCAGCGUGUCUGGUCGGUGACUCACGGCCGGGCCGGGGGCCACACGUGUGCCGAGCGCGGGGCUCAGCACGGCCACGUGGCCCAACCCGGUCACCGUGGGGCCCGGGGAGCCUGCGGGAUCCUGCCGGGGCCUGGCGCGGUGCUGGGCCGGUAGGAACGGGGCACGCGGUGCCGUGAGGCCUGUCCGAAGUGGCUCUGGGUGACGGGGACAGCCCGGUGCCACACGCUCGGUGGCCUUGGCGUGGCCGUGCCGUGCCCGUGCGGUGCCGGUGCUGGGUCCCGUGCCGGUGCCGCGCUGGUUCCUGCACAGAGCUGGUGCCGAGGCAGUGCCAGGGCCAACCGGUGCUGGUGCUGCACGGUGCCAACACCGGUGCCGAGGCAGCACGGCUCCUGCGUGGUGCCAGUGCCAUGCCGUGCCAACGGUGUGAGUGCCGGCUGUGGGGCCAGGAGGUGCCAAUACGGUGCCGGUGCCGGUGCCGUGCGGAGCCAAAGCAGUGCCGUGCCCACGCAGUGCCAGUGCCGGUGCCACACAGUGCCAGUGCCGUGCCAAUGCGGUGCCAACUCCGUGCUGGUGCUGUGUGGUGCCGGUGUGGUGCCGUGCCGUCCCAGCGCGGUGCCGGUGCCGUUCCCGUGCCAAGGUGAUGCCAACACGGUGCCGGUGCCAUCCCCGUGCCAACGCGGUGCCAACGCGGUGCCGGUGCCGUUCCCGCCCCCCCCCCCAACCCUCCCCAAAUCCCCUCCCGGUGCCGCCCCCAGCCCGCCCCCGCCCCUCCCCUGCCCUCCCCCGGUGCUCGGCGGGGCCGUGCCGGUGCUCGGCGGCGGCGGCGGCGGCGAUGGCGCUGUCGGGGCCGCCCCGUUCCUGCCUCCUGCUGGCGGCCGCGCUGCUGCUGCCGCUGCCCGGGGCCGCCCCGGACCCCGCCGCGCCCGCGCUCACCGACGCCGAGAUCGAGGCGUUCCUCAGGGGCUUCCUCGGGCCCGACGGGGACCGCGACGGCGACGGCGACGGGGACGGGGACGGGGAUGGCACCGAGCCGGGCUUCGCCACCGAGCAGGGCACCGGCACCGGGCUGAGCACCGACCCUCCGGGGCGGCUGCCGGAGCCCGAGGCACCCAAGAAGGGCCGGAAGGAAAAAGCCCCAAAACCCACCAAAAAGCCCAAGGAGAGAGCACGGGGCUCCAAAAAGGACAAGGACAGGGACAGGGACAAGGAGCGGGACAAGAGCAGGGACAAGAGCAAGGACGGGGACAAGCCCCCCAAGAAGCCCAAGGAGAAGACCCCAAAAGGCUCCGAGAAACCCCCAAAAGGCUCCGAGAAACCCCCAAAAGGAUCCAAGAAGCCCAAGGAGAAGCCGCCCAAGGAGAAGCCACCCAAGGAGAAGCCACCCAAGGCCACCAAGAAGCCCUCGGGCACGAGGCCCCCGGAGCCACCGGACACCCCCUGGGAGCCCCCCGUGGCCCCGCACCCCCCGCGGGGCGAGGACAGAGAGGGGACGUCCCUGUCCCCAGGGCAGCCGCGGGUCCCUGAGGAGGAGGAGGAGGAUGGCAGAGACCGAGGCGGGCUGGAGGAGCUGCCGACGGAGCGCUGGGAGCUGGGGGGGGAGGACUGGCACCCCCCUCCCGAGGCUGAGGUCCCCGCGGAGCCGGAGCCGCCGACGCUGGACUACAACGAGCAGCUGGAGCGGGAGGACUACGAGGACUUCGAGUACAUUCGGCGGCAGCAGAAACCCCGCAAGCCCCCCAGCAGGAAGAAACCCGAGCGAGUCUGGCCCCAGCCGGAGACGCCACCACGUCAG